AGAGUUUGAUCAUGGCUCAGGACGAACGCUGGCGGCGCGCUUAACACAUGCAAGUCGAGCGAGAACCAUCCUUCGGGAUGGGGACAGCGGCGAACGGGUGAGUAACACGUGGGUAAUCUGCCCUCGGCAUCGGGAUAGCCCGGGGAAACCCGGAUUAAUACCGGAUAGCCUCUCCGGUCUGCGGACUGGAAAGAAAAGGUAGCUUCGGCCUCUGGCCGAGGAGGAGCCCGCGGCGGAUUAGCUUGUUGGCGGGGUAAUGGCCCACCAAGGCGACGAUCCGUAGCUGGUCUGAGAGGACGAUCAGCCACACUGGGACUGAGACACGGCCCAGACUCCUACGGGAGGCAGCAGUGGGGAAUCUUGCGCAAUGGGCGAAAGCCCGACGCAGCGACGCCGCGUGUGGGAAGAAGGCCUUCGGGUUGUAAACCACUUUCAGGGGGGACGAAGCUACUCGGGUUAAUAGCCCAGAGGGUGACGGUACCUUCAGAAGAAGCCCCGGCUAACUACGUGCCAGCAGCCGCGGUAAUACGUAGGGGGCAAGCGUUGUCCGGAUUUAUUGGGCGUAAAGAGCGUGUAGGCGGCCUGGAAGGUCAGCUGUGAAAACUCGAGGCUCAACCUCGAGACGUCGGUUGAAACCACCUGGCUAGAGUCCGGAAGAGGAGAAUGGAAUUCCCGGUGUAGCGGUGAAAUGCGCAGAUAUCGGGAAGAACACCCGUGGCGAAGGCGGUUCUCUGGGACGGUACUGACGCUGAGACGCGAAAGCGUGGGGAGCGAACAGGAUUAGAUACCCUAGUAGUCC
Molecule: ribosomal RNA, 799 nt
Filed under: uncultured bacterium
Lineage: Bacteria
Description: bacterial SSU rRNA
Rfam family: Bacterial small subunit ribosomal RNA
Source: RNAcentral